AAUAGAUACCCUGGUAGUCCACGCCGUAAACGGUGGGUACUAGGUGUGGGUUUCCUUCCUUGGGAUCCGUGCCGUAGCUAACGCAUUAAGUACCCCGCCUGGGGAGUACGGCCGCAAGGCUAAAACUCAAAGGAAUUGACGGGGGGCCCGCACAAGCGGCGGAGCAUGUGGAUUAAUUCGAUGCAACGCGAAGAACCUUACCUGGGUUUGACAUGCACAGGACGACUGCAGAGAUGUGGUUUCCCUUGUGGCCUGUGUGCAGGUGGUGCAUGGCUGUCGUCAGCUCGUGUCGUGAGAUGUUGGGUUAAGUCCCGCAACGAGCGCAACCCUUGUCUCAUGUUGCCAGCACGUGAUGGUGGGGACUCGUGAGAGACUGCCGGGGUCAACUCGGAGGAAGGUGGGGAUGACGUCAAGUCAUCAUGCCCCUUAUGUCCAGGGCUUCACACAUGCUACAAUGGCCGGUACAAAGGGCGGCGAUGCCGUGAGGCUUAGCGAAUCCUUUAAAGCCGGUUCUCAGUUCGGAGUCGGGGUU
Molecule: ribosomal RNA, 532 nt
Filed under: uncultured bacterium
Lineage: Bacteria
Description: bacterial SSU rRNA
Rfam family: Bacterial small subunit ribosomal RNA
Source: RNAcentral